CGCCUCCUGCAACACAACUAUGUAUAGGAGGUCCAGCCUGCCCAGUGACUACAAGUUCAACGGCCGCGGUAUUUUGACCGUGCAAAGGUAGCGCAAUCACUUGUCUUUUAAAUAGAGACCUGUAUGAAUGGCUAAACGAGGGCUUAACUGUCUCCCCUUUCCAGUCAGUGAAAUUGAUCUGCCCGUGCAGAAGCGGACAUAAAAAUACAAGACGAGAAGACCCUUUGGAGCUUAAGGUACAAAACUCAACCACGUCAAGCAACUUAAUAAAAAGCAAAAACUUUGUGGAACAUGAGAUUUUACCUUCGGUUGGGGCGACCACGGAGGAAAACAAAGCCUCCAAGUGGAUUGGGAAAACCUCCUAAAACCAAGAGAGACAUCUCUAAGCCACAGAACAUCUGACCAAACAUGAUCCGGCUGCCCGAAGCCGAUCAACGAACCAAGUUACCCUAGGGAUAACAGCGCAAUCCUCUCCCAGAGUCCAUAUCGACGAGGGGGUUUACGACCUCGAUGUUGGAUCAGGACAUCCUAAUGGUGCAGCCGCUAUUAAGGGUUCGUUUGUUCAACGAUUAAAGUCCU
Molecule: ribosomal RNA, 579 nt
Filed under: Labeo fimbriatus (fringed-lipped peninsula carp)
Lineage: Eukaryota; Metazoa; Chordata; Actinopteri; Cypriniformes; Cyprinidae
Description: partial 16S ribosomal RNA
Rfam family: Bacterial large subunit ribosomal RNA
Source: RNAcentral